RNAcentral lists this ribosomal RNA (1365 nucleotides) under Oxytricha granulifera. RNAcentral describes it as "eukaryotic LSU rRNA". It matches the Rfam family "Eukaryotic large subunit ribosomal RNA", at positions 1 to 1356 of the family's 3401-position model. Lineage: Eukaryota; Ciliophora; Spirotrichea; Sporadotrichida; Oxytrichidae. The record is from RNAcentral.
UGCAUCUGAAAUCAAGCAGGAUCACCCGCUGAACUUAAGCAUAUCACUAAGCGGAGGAGAAGAAAUUAACUAAGAUUGCCUCAGUAACGGCGAGUGAAGCGGCAAGAGCCCAAACUGGAAAUCUCGUACCUUCGGUACGCGAAUUGUAAUCUAAAGAGUGCUUGCUCACCGGGGAGUGGCGCAGAAGUUCCCUCGAACGGGACGCCAGAGAGGGUGACAGCCCCGUAUGUGGUGCCAUUCCCUAACGAGUGGGUGUUCAACGAGUCGGGUUGUUUUGUACUACAGCCCUAAGUCGGAGAUAAACUUCUUCUAAGGCUAAAUAUAUAUGGGAAACCGAUAGCGAACAAGUACUGUGAAGGAAAGAUGAAAAGAACUUUGAAAAGAGAGUCAAAAGACUUGAAAUCGUUGAGAAGGAAGCGGUAGAAAUUUAUCCUUCUGCGGAGGUCGGUGGUCCUUGCCAAACCAUUGCUGGUGGGUAGUACUGAAUAAGGCUACCUUUGGUACUUGGGGAAGCGGAGCCUUGACCUUCGUAGUGCGGCAAAAUGAGGUCGCAUUUCCACAAAAGCUUCUUGCAACCGGGCUUCUUCGGAGGUCAGUGUGGGUGUGCUGGUGGCAAUGCGGCCUGAGGAUGCAUUUGCGAUUUUGCCAAAAUGGUUUUUACCGACCCGUCUUGAAACACGGACCAAGGAGUCUAACAUAUAUGCAAGUGUGCUGGUGGAAAAACCAACACGCGAAAUGAAAGUGAGUGAUGCCAAGACCCCUGCAGCAUCAACCAACCAUGAUCCUCCGGUGAAAGGUUUGAGUAUGAGCAUAUCUGUUAGGACCCGAAAGAUGGUGAACUAUGCCUGAGUAGGGUGAAGCCAGGGGAAACUCUGGUGGAGGCUCGUAGCGGUUCUGACGUGCAAAUCGAUCGUCAAACUUGGGUAUAGGGGCGAAAGACUAAUCGAACCAUCUAGUAGCUGGUUCCCUCCGAAGUUUCCCUCAGGAUAGCUGGGACAACAACGCAGUUUUAUUAGGUAAAGCGAAUGAUUAGAGGCAUCGGGGGUAAUAUGCCCUCGACCUAUUCUCAAACUUUAAAUUGGUAAGAACCCUGGCCUUUCUUAAGUGAGGCACGGGGGAUCAAUGCGUGUCCCAAGUGGGCCAUUUUUGGUAAGCAGAACUGGCGAUGAGGGUUGCUCCUAACGUUGAGUUAAGGUGCCCAACUGCACGCUCAUCAGAUACUACAAAGGGUGUUGGUUCAUACAGACAGCAGGACGGUGGCCAUGGAAGUCGGAACCCGCUAAGGAGUGUGUAACAACUCACCUGCCGAAUGAACUAGCCCCGAAAAUGGAUGGCGCUAAAGCGUGCGACCGAUACUCGACCAUU